This 85-nucleotide transfer RNA is filed under the name Felis catus (domestic cat). It matches the Rfam family "tRNA". From Rfam's summary of the family: Transfer RNA (tRNA) molecules are approximately 80 nucleotides in length. Their secondary structure includes four short double-helical elements and three loops (D, anti-codon, and T loops). Further hydrogen bonds mediate the characteristic L-shaped molecular structure. tRNAs have two regions of fundamental functional importance: the anti-codon, which is responsible for specific mRNA codon recognition, and the 3' end, to which the tRNAs corresponding amino acid is attached (by aminoacyl-tRNA synthetases). tRNAs cope with the degeneracy of the genetic code in two manners: having more than one tRNA (with a specific anti-codon) for a particular amino acid; and 'wobble' base-pairing, i.e. permitting non-standard base-pairing at the 3rd anti-codon position. Lineage: Eukaryota; Metazoa; Chordata; Mammalia; Carnivora; Felidae. The record is from Rfam by way of RNAcentral.
GCCUGGGUGGCUCAGUCGGUUGAGUGUCUGACUUCAGCUCAGGUCAUGAUCUCACGGUCUGUGAGUUCGAGUCCCGCAUCGGGCU